AUCACUUCUCUACCUUUUGGCUAAGAUCAAGUGUAGUAUCUGUUCUUAUCAGUUUAAUAUCUGAUACAUCCUCUAUCCGAGGACAAUAUAUUAAAUGGAAUUUUGGAGUAAGGAGUUGGAAUAGGAGCUUGCUCUGAUCCACUCCACGCAUUCACCUGGUAUUGCAGUAUCUCCAGGAAUGGUGCACCCUCC
This is a small nuclear RNA of Mustela putorius furo (domestic ferret), 192 nucleotides long. Its record names the gene U2. It matches the Rfam family "U2 spliceosomal RNA". Rfam says of the family: U2 is a small nuclear RNA (snRNA) component of the spliceosome (involved in pre-mRNA splicing). Complementary binding between U2 snRNA (in an area lying towards the 5' end but 3' to hairpin I) and the branchpoint sequence (BPS) of the intron results the bulging out of an unpaired adenosine, on the BPS, which initiates a nucleophilic attack at the intronic 5' splice site, thus starting the first of two transesterification reactions that mediate splicing. Lineage: Eukaryota; Metazoa; Chordata; Mammalia; Carnivora; Mustelidae. The record is from Ensembl.